CGGACGACGCUGGCGGCGUGCUUAACACAUGCAAGUCGAGCGAGAAAGCCCCUUCGGGGGUGAGUACAGCGGCGAACGGGUGAGUAACACGUGGGCAACCUGCCCCGGAGACUGGGAUAACGUCCCGAAAGGGACGCUAAUACCGGAUGAUGCGUGACCUGCCAAGUGGGUCACGUCAAAUGGUAGCCUCGGCCUCUGCUCCGGGAUGGGCCCGCGCCGGAUUAGCUUGUUGGUGAGGUAACGGCUCACCAAGGCGACGAUCCGUAGCUGGUCUGAGAGGACGAUCAGCCACACUGGGACUGAGACACGGCCCAGACUCCUACGGGAGGCAGCAGUGGGGAAUCUUGGGCAAUGGGGGAAACCCUGACCCAGCGACGCCGCGUGAGGGAAGAAGGCCUUAGGGUCGUAAACCUCUGUUGUGUGGGAAGAUAAUGACGGUACUGUACGAAUAAGUCCCGGCUAACUACGUG
RNAcentral lists this ribosomal RNA (470 nucleotides) under uncultured bacterium. RNAcentral describes it as "bacterial SSU rRNA". It matches the Rfam family "Bacterial small subunit ribosomal RNA", at positions 33 to 507 of the family's 1533-position model. The record is from RNAcentral.